Molecule: ribosomal RNA, 491 nt
Filed under: uncultured bacterium
Lineage: Bacteria
Description: partial 16S ribosomal RNA
Rfam family: Bacterial small subunit ribosomal RNA
Source: RNAcentral
GAUGAACGCUAGCUACAGGCUUAACACAUGCAAGUCGCGGGGCCGCAUGGGGGUUGCUUGCGACCCCUGAUGGCGACAGGCGCACGGGUGAGUAACGCGUAUCCAACCUGCCCUUCACCACGGGAUAACCCGGCGACAGCCGGACUAAUACCGUAUGUUGUCCCUUCACGGGAUCCGUUGUGGACGAAACGCUUGGCGGUGAAAGGGUGGGGGUGCGUCCGAUUGGCUUGCGGGCGGGUUAACGGCCCACCGUGGCUACGGUCGGUAGGGGUUCUGAGGGGAAGGUCCCCCACACGGGACCUGGGACACGGUCCAGACUCCUACGGGAGGCAGCAGUGAGGGAUAUUGGUCAAGGGGCGUAAGCCUGAACCAGCCAAGUAGCGUGCAGGAUGACGGCCCUAUGGGGUGUAAACUGCUUUUAUGCGGGGAUAAAGUGGCCCACGGGUGGGCUUUUGCAGGUACCGCAUGAAUAAGGACCGGCUAAUUCCGUG